AUCAAAAUGAAUGCCUAGAUGGUAUACACACUUGCAGUUCCGAUGCCACAUGCAACAACUCAAUUGGAUCAUAUCAAUGCACGUGUAUAUCUGGGUACACAGGUGAUGGUAUAUCUUGCACAGACCAAAAUGAAUGCCUAGAUGAUAAACACAAUUGCAGUUCUGAUGCCACAUGCAACAACUCAAUUGGAUCACAUCAUUGCACGUGUAUAUCUGGGUACACAGGUGAUGGCAUAUCUUGCACAGGCACUGAUUCUCGCAAGGCCGGUAAGAGCGGAGCAAAGAUGCAUUUGCCCUGUUUGGGAAUACAAGCCGCCUUGAUUGUGCUCCUCACUGUGGUCCUACCCUUUACACAUAUGCUGGGAUAGAGGACUAACUGGGAAAUUGUCCCCAGGUUCACACGGGGAGACAUUUGUUUGUUAAGAGUAACUGACCAGCAAUACAGCUGCCACUGAUCUACUGCCUCUCUUUUUAUGUACUGCGAUUUCUGCUUUCGUUUGGUUUUGCAGUGUAGGGAUUUGCCAUAAACAUAGAAUAACUUUUGAGUUUCCCGCUUUGUUGAACAGUCCAUACGACGUCUUCUUUACGCAUUAUUUAGAAUAGUAAUAAUCAUGCCACGUACAGAGUCACGUAGAGUAGUGUACACUGUCGAUAGGUGGCAUUUGCACUGCAAGGUAAUGAUGACAUGUAUUACAUACUGUUGUUGGACGACCUAUUAAAGUGAUCUUUUCCGGCCCGGAAAAAAGUACUUGUGCACAUUUAUCCCUACCUUUCUCCUUCGGGUUAUGAAUUUUUGACUAAUCUUCAUUUCCUUCAGGGAACCUGCCUCCAGUUUUGUAUUUCCCUGAGCCUUCUUAGUGUAUGUGUGUGAGGAGGCAAUCCCCUGAAACUUGUUUUGUGUACUUUCAAAUGUUUCUAAUACACUGGGUAACCGUAACCCUAAUAAUAAUAUUAUUGUAGAUGUCCAUUCU
This is a long non-coding RNA of Sycon ciliatum, 971 nucleotides long. RefSeq lists it as uncharacterized. The transcript is spliced from 3 exons. Lineage: Eukaryota; Metazoa; Porifera; Calcarea; Leucosolenida; Sycettidae. The record is from RefSeq and is a predicted model, not a curated record.